GUAUUAGUAGUCUAAGGUAAGAUGUUAACUUUUCGUGUUAGAGUUUCAAUUAUAUGUUAAUUGGGUAAUAUA
Molecule: transfer RNA, 72 nt
Filed under: Halocynthia papillosa
Lineage: Eukaryota; Metazoa; Chordata; Ascidiacea; Stolidobranchia; Pyuridae
Description: transfer RNA-Glu
Source: RNAcentral